AAGCUCUAUCAGCAGGGAAGAAAAUGACGGUACCUGACUAAGAAGCUCCGGCUAAAUACGUGCCAGCAGCCGCGGUAAUACGUAUGGAGCAAGCGUUAUCCGGAAUUAUUGGGCGUAAAGCGCGCGUAGGCGGCAGCACAAGACUGGAGUGAAAUGCCGGGGCUUAACCCCGGAACUGCUUUGGAAACUGUGCAGCUAGAGUGCAGGAGAGGUAAGUGGAAUUCCUAGUGUAGCGGUGAAAUGCGUAGAUAUUAGGAGGAACACCAGUGGCGAAGGCGGCUUACUGGACUGUAACUGACGUUGAGGCUCGAAAGCGUGGGGAGCAAACAG
This 330-nucleotide ribosomal RNA is filed under the name uncultured bacterium. Its description in RNAcentral is "bacterial SSU rRNA". It matches the Rfam family "Bacterial small subunit ribosomal RNA", at positions 428 to 775 of the family's 1533-position model. The record is from RNAcentral.